RNAcentral lists this small RNA (29 nucleotides) under Bombyx mori (domestic silkworm). RNAcentral describes it as "ovarian small RNA-24815". Lineage: Eukaryota; Metazoa; Arthropoda; Insecta; Lepidoptera; Bombycidae. The record is from RNAcentral.
UCAAUAUCCAUCGCCCCCGCGGGGAGGCC